Molecule: long non-coding RNA, 673 nt
Organism: Mus caroli (Ryukyu mouse)
Lineage: Eukaryota; Metazoa; Chordata; Mammalia; Rodentia; Muridae
Source: RefSeq, a predicted model, not a curated record
AAGGAGAGUUCCAUGUGGGCAGACAACAUGGCAAAAACAGUUGGUUCUUCCCAUCCUGAGGGAGGCAGAAGAGUGAGCCAGCUGCAGGAGAGUCAAAAACACCAGGAAACAUGAGCUGUCCCCGGAGCACUGCAGAGCAAAGUCCACACACUCAACAACUGUGAAGUCUCUAAGAACAGCUCUGAAGGGGACCCGAGCGCAUCAGUGCAGGAAACAGAGAAGGCAACUUCCUGGAAAAGACAGAGAUGCACCAAGAGGAGGUGACCACAAAGAACUUCUAAUCUGAUUAGGCACAUCUUCCUGCACCAGCAGGACAUCCAGAUAAGGGGUCCUGCACCUGCAAGAGCCCCGAGACAGGAAAAGUGAGAUGGCAUGCUUGUCUGGGACACUAUAGUCACCAUGCACCAAGCACCCUGCAGGAGCUCUGGUGCUCCCAUCCCAGGUGCCAGCUUCCUAGACUGGACCCAGCCUGUAGAUCAUACCUGCUCCACCAACCUCCCCACAGUGUGAUGUUUCCCACAGAAUUCUCCUGAUCAUGGAUGCCCCGUCUCCAGAAAAAUAAACAAUCAAUCUUUUGGUUUUGUUUGGAGCCACUAAAACACUCCAGUCACACAUGACUUCAGCCACUGGAACCAAAUAUCGUGUGGAUAUCCAUCCUUCCUCAAAAAUAAAC